GAGCAAUUAACAAGCAAUAAUUUGUUCUUGGUCUUUGUUUGAGGAAUUGUUUUUUAGUGAUUUUAGUAAAAAGAAGAGUUUAGGAAUUUGUUUGGAUUUUUUUAGAAAUUUUCUUGGAAUUUUUGGGCUUUGUGCUUCCUGACGGUUUUAUUUGAAUUAUUCAACAAGUAAACGAAGGUUGGAAGAAUUUGAGGCAAUCGAAUUCUAAGUUUCAUGGUAGUUUUUGAAAAGUUUGAAUUUUUUAACAAUCGAUUAAAUUUUUUGGUAUCAGAUUUUUGGAAUUUUUAGUUGAAUUUUGGGGUGGUUGAAUUUUUAGAAAAAAGACAGAGAAAAGAAAAUAAAGGAAUGAAGGUGAAAGAAGAAUUAAAAAAUAAUAAAACUUUGGCUUUUAUACAAAAGCAAAGCAACAUCGUUUUGGGAGGCUUAGAUCUGCUCCUUGACCUGCAUGCUAACUCAGCUCCUGACCCAACCUAAUUGCCAAAUUUUCUUUUUCUUUUUUGUGAUUUUUUU
Molecule: long non-coding RNA, 510 nt
Filed under: Durio zibethinus
Lineage: Eukaryota; Viridiplantae; Streptophyta; Magnoliopsida; Malvales; Malvaceae
Description: long non-coding RNA (DZIB_LNC001408)
Source: RNAcentral